GGGGAAACUUAAGACAAAUAUUUGCUGUGGGAAUGCUAUAUUCUUGGUAUAUCUCGUAUCUGCUUGAAUUUGACUCGUAUAUUCUUUCUACGAUACAGGCAACAGAAGAGAGAUACAAUAACAAAGGAGCAUAUGUUUUAUUGAACCCCCCGAACUUCGAUAGCCCCGAAUUCCAUAGUUUUGAAGCAAUUACUCCAAGACCCAAGGUGAAUCCAUACUAUGACUUUGAGGAUGUGAUUGAUUCCGAUGAAGACUUGGACUUGGCGUCAAUGGUACCCAUUUGUAAUGUCCCUGAUCUAUAUGCUUUUCACAAUCAUUAUUUUGAGAGUUGUACAUGGUAUUAAUGGAUUUUCAUUAAUAUAUGGUGUUGUUUAAUAAGAUGACGAUGAUUUGGUAUCAAGAAGCAUGUUAUUUUCAUCAUUUUGAAGCUGUUUGUAUUGCUAUAGGUUUUAAAAGAAACCUAACUUUAUGUGACUUGUUCUUUCUGAAAUUAUAGUGCUGAAAUAUGAUUAUUUU
Hibiscus syriacus is the source of this 516-nucleotide long non-coding RNA. RefSeq lists it as uncharacterized. Lineage: Eukaryota; Viridiplantae; Streptophyta; Magnoliopsida; Malvales; Malvaceae. The record is from RefSeq and is a predicted model, not a curated record. The transcript has 2 exons.